UAGGGAAUUUUCCGCAAUGGGCGCAAGCCUGACCCAGCAACGCCGCGUGAGGGAAGAAGGUCUUCGGAUUGUAAACCUCUGUCCUUGGGGACGAAAAAAAUGACGGUACCCAAGGAGGAAGCUCCGGCUAACUACGUGCCAGCAGCCGCGGUAAUACGUAGGGAGCGAGCGUUGUCCGGAAUUACUGGGCGUAAAGGGUGCGUAGGCGGCAAAGCAAGUCAGAUGUGAAAUCCCCGGGCUUAACUCGGGGGGUGCAUUUGAAACUGCAUUGCUUGAGUGCAGGAGAGGAAAGCGGAAUUCCUAGUGUAGCGGUGAAAUGCGUAGAUAUUAGGAGGAACACCAGUGGCGAAGGCGGCCUGCUGGACAUUAACUGACGCUGAGGCGCGAAAGCGUGGGGAGCAAACAGG
This 407-nucleotide ribosomal RNA is filed under the name uncultured prokaryote. RNAcentral describes it as "bacterial SSU rRNA". It matches the Rfam family "Bacterial small subunit ribosomal RNA", at positions 355 to 776 of the family's 1533-position model. RNAcentral also lists the same sequence under 1 other name. The record is from RNAcentral.